This 969-nucleotide long non-coding RNA is filed under the name Linum usitatissimum (flax). Its description in RNAcentral is "long non-coding RNA (LUSI_LNC004634)". The record is from RNAcentral. Lineage: Eukaryota; Viridiplantae; Streptophyta; Magnoliopsida; Malpighiales; Linaceae.
ACGGCAUUGCCUUUGUGAUAUCGCCAACUCCACACUUUGAAGGCGCCAUUGCAACUCAGUACCUCGGUCUGUUCAACUCCACCACGAUCGGACUUCAAUCCAACCACGUGAUUGCUGUGGAGCUUGACACGGUUCAGAACCCUGAGUUUGGAGAUAUCAACAGCAACCAUGUUGGUAUAGACAUCAACAACUUAACAUCCAUUCAAUCUGCUAAUGCUGCAUACUUCACCGAAGGUGAAGAAAAGGAACUCGAGCUCAUCAGUGGAGAUCCUAUCCAGGUAUGGAUAGAUUACACAGCAAGUAACAAGGAGUUAAACGUAACACUUGCUCCAGUAAGAACAAGCAAACCAGAGAAGCCGCUACUGUCAACAACCGAUCUUAAUAUAGACGUACCGGAUCGAAUGUACGUUGGUUUCUCAUCAUCUACAGGCUCAAUAGCUAGCCACCACUACAUACUCGGAUGGAGCUUGGAUUUAACUGGAAGCCAGGCUCGAGAUCUCGACAUCUCGAACCUGCCAUCACUUCCACCAGAGAGAAACUCAGGAAACAGAUCGUCAGCAAACUUGAAGAUUCUACUUCCUGUGGUGAUCACAAUUCUACUAAUCACAUCCAUUGCACUUACAGUCUACUUCACAAGGAAGAGAUACGAAGAACUCCACGAAGAUUGGGAAGAACAGUACGGUCCACAGAGAUUCUCCUACAGAGAUCUACACAAAGCAACCAAAGGAUUCAAUCAGAUUUUGGGAGCAGGAGGAUUCGGAAAGGUUUACAAAGGAACAUUACAUCCUUCUUCUUCUUCUACUUCUUUUUCUAGCUCUAUUACCUCGGAUGCUGAAAUAGCAGUGAAGAAGAUCUCACACGAUUCGCGGCAGGGAAUGAGGGAGUUUGUAGCCGAGAUCGCGACCAUGGGAAGGCUACGUCACCGGAACUUAGUCCAGCUGCUAGGAUACUGCCGGAGGAAGGGCGAGC